This 359-nucleotide long non-coding RNA is filed under the name Rattus norvegicus (Norway rat). RNAcentral describes it as "long non-coding RNA NONRATT008587". Lineage: Eukaryota; Metazoa; Chordata; Mammalia; Rodentia; Muridae. The record is from RNAcentral.
UUGGAAAAAAAAAAUAGUAGUCUUUCUCUGCCUUUGCAAAAAUGAGCACUUGGGCCUCAAGACGGGUGCAGGGAAGGGGGUCUCAUUGCCAAGGAAGCCGUUCCAAUUCCUGGCCGCUCCCUCCAAUUUGGAGCUGAUUAUGUGUGUGCUGCUGUGGUUAUUCAGCACCAGCUGCCUGGCACCACCUCCUCUUUCAAGCCCACAGCUUCCUGUGGCACAGACACUUAGCUGCCACAGCUGUGCCCACAUCCCUCCUCCUCUCGGUAGAGCACAGGACAAGAAUCCUAUAACGUCCUGGAAAUACCCCAACCCCAAACCCCUACUGGAGAAAGGUACCUAGGUUUGGCCAGGAGGAGCAA